Long non-coding RNA from Crotalus tigris (Tiger rattlesnake), 2098 nucleotides. RefSeq lists it as uncharacterized. The transcript has 3 exons. NCBI's taxonomy places the organism in Eukaryota, Metazoa, Chordata, Lepidosauria, Squamata, Viperidae. The record is from RefSeq and is a predicted model, not a curated record.
AAAUUUCAGACUUAGUCUAAUUGGAGCAGAUAGAUUAAGACAACCCAUCUGUGGAUUCUCCAUCAUCAUGCUGAGAAAAGGCGUUCAGGCAAGACAACGCCCCUAUCUCAUUCUAUUUUGAAAUGAUAGCAAUGUCUUGCAGAUCUCUAUGCUCUUUUAUUUUAUUUUUUAAAAGUGGAUGUAUUUUCCUGUCAUGGUGCAGUCAGAGCUAUAUCACCAAAGAGAUUGCCUGGAAUGAGUUUUCCUUAAUCCCAACUUUAACUGUAUUCAGAGCAGCAUCAAAAGACACACUGGGGAAAGAUACAAUGUGAUAGAAAAGACAGAAGAUAGGCAAACCAAGAAAGGUGAUCAAGCAACCUAUGGUUAUUUAUUUAUUUAGAUUUAUUAUAGCUUCCUACUCUCAUAGACUCUGGGUGACUUGCAAACACAAUAUGCCUUGUUUUUGCAAAGUUUCUCUUAGGUGCAACCUCUCUUUCCUUGCUUUUCAUAACAACUUCACUCAAAGUGACUCCUCUGUCAGUCAUGCUGGCUUAUAAUAGGAAAAUAAAUAGGCAACUGAGUAGGGGAUGAUGUCAGCAUCCUGGCUAACACAGGAUACAAUGAAUAAUAAGUGUGCAUGCAUAUUUGGAAGCAAGUGGGAGAAUGCCAGAAUUCAAGCCAGCCAGCUGGGCCUGCCUUGCUGUUCCAGGUCAGGACUGAAGAAAGCAAUUAGCUUUUGGAUUGUCCACUGCUGCUACAACUAUUGAGCAAAGGUCCUGCUUUUCUUCAGUUAUGAGGAAUAGACUAAUUAAGAAUGAAAUAAACUGCAGCAUUCAGGAAUUAUGAGCAGUUUCACAUUGAGAUCAAUCAAUGGAAAGCUGUCACGGAAGUGUCAGGAAACAAUGGCCACUAACCAUGGACCCAAUUUCAUUACUACAGGCCUGCAGACAAGAGUGUUUCAUAUUCUUAUCGUAGUACAGUAUUUGUCCUCACCAAAAUGGAGAGUUAAUUGCUGUAGAAGCCAAGUUUGUUUUACCUGGUAACAAUAGACUCAAACCUACAGAUAAAAGCAUUGUCAAAUGAGUCAUUUUCAAAGUAUUUGAAGAAUGCUCCUGAGAAUACUGUGAAAAGUCAUGGAAAUAAACUGAUGGGUCAUCAAAGAAAUCAUUUCUGAAUUCUGAAUUGACAAGACUCAAAUUAUUCUAUUUCAGAUACACUAUGAAAAGAUCCAUCUCUCUGGAAAAGAUUCUAAAGCUUGAAAGGAGAGAGAAUAGGAUAAUCAACAAAUGGAUGGAUGGAGUUUACAAUGGCAAUGAGCGUGCCAUUGGAAGAGAUAGAUUGACGUGGAUAAAAUCUAUGUGGCCAGUAUAAGCUGAAAAUAACUUGAUGUCACUCCCAUCUAUCCAAUCAUAUUUCCUAUCUUAUACAAUUAAUUUCCUUUUACAAAAUGGAGAACUUAUCUCUGUUAAAUUUCAUUCACUUAUUUUCAGCCCAUAGUUUCUAGCCUAAUUUUUUCCUCAACCUUGGCAAGUUUAAGUAUGGACUGGGGAUUUCCAGGAAUUGAGGUCCACACAUUUUAAAGUUACCAAGGUUAAGAAACACUAUCAAAUUCAUUUGUAUUUUGUUUGCUUCUGUGGUAAAAAAAUUUCACCCCAUACUAUAUUAUCUGCAAAUUUUAUUAAUAAUCCUUUCAUCAAGACAUUGAUAAAAUGCUGCUGAAUAAUGAAUCCUGGACUGAACUUGUGGCAUUCCACUCUGUAUUUCACCCCUGUAUUUGAUGAGAAAUCAUUGGUGAACUCUUUUGAAAUAUAAUUUUCAACCCAGCUUUAUUUUUAUUAAAUUGAUCUACUUUCCAUUCUUUAGUUGGAUUGGACAAAAUUGGACAACCAUUUAUCUAAAAUGGUAUAGGGUUUCCUGCCUGAGCAGGGGAUUGGACUAGAUGACUUUCAAGGUUCCUUUGAACUCUGUUAAUAUUAAUUUGUGAAUUUUAAUGUUAUGCAGUACUUUUAAACUGUUUGCUGAAAUCAAAACAUGUUAUACUUAAAACAUUCAUAUACUCUGCAAUGGAAGAUAUCCAAGUUUUACAAAAUGAGCUCAGUUUAGCCCAGGGGUAGGCAAC